RNAcentral lists this ribosomal RNA (396 nucleotides) under uncultured bacterium. Its description in RNAcentral is "bacterial SSU rRNA". It matches the Rfam family "Bacterial small subunit ribosomal RNA", at positions 361 to 774 of the family's 1533-position model. The record is from RNAcentral.
AUUUUGGGCAAUGGGCGAAAGCCUGACCCAGCAACGCCGCGUGAGGGAUGAAGUAUUUCGGUAUGUAAACCUCGAAAGAAUGGGAAGAAUAAAUGACGGUACCAUUUAUAAGCUCCGGCUAACUACGUGCCAGCAGCCGCGGUAAUACGUAGGGAGCAAGCGUUGCUCGGAUUUACUGGGCGUAAAGGGCGCGUAGGCGGCGCGGUAAGUCACUUGUGAAAUCUCUGAGCUUAACUCAGAACGGCCAAGUGAUACUGCUGGGCUAGAGGGCGGAAGAGGCAACCGGAAUUCUUGGUGUAGCGGUGAAAUGCGUAGAUAUCAAGAGGAACACCUGAGGCGAAGGCGGGUUGCUGGGCCGACACUGACGCUGAUGCGCGAAAGCCAGGGGAGCAAACG